This 3536-nucleotide long non-coding RNA is filed under the name Capsicum annuum. RNAcentral describes it as "long non-coding RNA (CANN_LNC002868)". Lineage: Eukaryota; Viridiplantae; Streptophyta; Magnoliopsida; Solanales; Solanaceae. The record is from RNAcentral.
CCUGAACGAAUUUCCUCUUCAAAAUAAAGACAUUAGUGUGGAAUUGCCGAGGCAUGGAAGGGGGACUUUAUAGUUCUCUUUCUGAAGCAGACAUUACAUCUCCCCUCCCAAGCAUGAUUUUCUUGAGUGAAAUGAAAAAUCAAGAAAGAAUGCUAGUAAGAGUUUAAAGGAAAUUUAAUAUGGCGAUUAUUAUUAUUUUGGAUCCAAUGAGAUUAGCUGGAGGUCUAUGCCAAUUCAGGAAUAAUGAUAUUCGGGUAAGUCAAUCUCAUUCAACUCGAUUUUAUAUUGAAACAUAUGUACAUGAGUUGGUUUCUGAAUGUAAAUAUUGGUAUAUAUUAUUUAUUCAAGUACCGAUAAAACAAUUCAUAAAACUCAAUUGCCAGAACUUAAUUGAAAGUCUAAUAGCUGGGGUUCAAUGUGGAUUAUAGCAGAAGAUUUUAAUGACAUUAUUAAUACCCUAAUAAGUCUGGAGUAGAAUUAGAGAAACUUUGUCAUUUAAUAAUUGUAAAGACUUUCUAUGGGAUAUAAGAACAAUAGAUUUAGGCUUCAACGAAAAAUCUUAGACUUGGUAUUAUUUUAAAGAAAAUAAUAGAAUUAUUCAAGAGUUACUGGAUAGAGCUAUGAGCUUUGUGGGAGACUAGAUUUUAGCCUCGCUAACAUCACUCACUUAGAAACAGAGACCUUUGACCAUAGUGCUUUGCUAAUGAGUAUGAACCUAGCUUUUGAAAAAAAAAAGGUUUUAUUUUUAUAAAUGUUGGAGUGAAAAGGAAGAAGUAAAUACGAAUGUUACUUGGACUUCAAAUAAAUUUUUGGGAGGGUGAACAAUCAAGGGUGAACUUCAAGAUAAAAAACUGUAAAAAAAUCAUUUCUAACUUGGCUUCGAGAAGGGAAGAAAAACUCUAAGAAAAAAAUUGAGGAAAUUAAGAAUAGAAUUGAUUAACUUAAGAAUAAUGCUAUAAAUUUUAAUCUUAAUUAUUCGUUUAAUGGAUAACUUCAUAAUAAUAUGCUAAUCAUAGAAGUCACUAAUGAUGAAAUUAAAAAAAGGUUAAUUUCGACAUGCAACCUUUAAAAUCUCCGGACGUAGAUGACUAGAUGGUAUAGCACCUUUCUUCUUUCAAAAAUAUUGAAUAAUCUUUCUAGCGAUAUUUGUGAAGUAGUGAAAAGUUUCUUUCACUUAAGAUAUUUUCACUUUUCUGGAACCAGACUCUUAUAACGUUGAUUCCUAAAGUAAAAAAUCUUAGCUAUAUUAGUCAAUUCAUACCUAUAAGCUUAUGCUCUACGAUGUAUACAAAUAUUGCCAAAAUUACAGUCAAGCGGCUCAAGGCUUAUCUCCACAAUAGUAUAUUUCUUAAUUAGACUGCUUUUAUUGAAAAAAGGUAAAUUGUGGAUAACGUCGUACCAGCACAUGAAUUCAUUUAUCUUCUUAAAAAUAAAAGACGGGGAAAGCAAAAAUAUAUGACUCUUAAAUUAGAUAUGGCCAAAGCUUAUGAACAAGUAGAGUAGAUUUAUAUCCAUAAGUUACUUCUUAAGAUGAGCUUUCACUAAAUUCUUGUUAAUUGGAUUAUAGAAUGCAUCACUACUACAACUUAUAAAUUUAAUAUUAGUGGAAAUACAGAGGGAGAAGUCAAAGCUACUAGAGGACUAAGGCAAAGAGAUCCUCUUGCACCAUAUCUAUUCUUGUUAUGCGCUGAAGGUCUUUCGAGACUUCUAAAUAAAGCAAAAUCAUGUGAGGAGAUACAAGACUUAAGCUUAGUUAGAGAUGGACCUAUUAUUAAUUAUCUAUUUUGGUUUAUGACUCUUUCAUAUUUUAUAAUGCUAAUAUCCGAAAUGCUGCAAAAAUCUCUAAAAUUUUAAGAGUCUACGAGGAGUGUUCAGGUCAAAAAAUAAACUUUGAAAAGGCCACAAUUUUUUUUAAUAAAAGUACUACUAAUCUUGAUAAGGAUGAAAUCAUUGUGGAGUUAGGACAACUUCAUAGGAAUGAUUUAGGAAAUUAUCUUCGAUUACCUGCAGUAAUCGAUCGAUCAAAGAAAAAAUGCUAGACUUUAUCAAAGAUAGUAUAAAGACUACGAUAAAAGGGUUGGAAGAAUAAUUUCUUAAGUCCAGUAGAAAAAGAUGUGAUGCUUAAAUCUGUUUUAUCUGCUAUUCCUUAUUAGAACUAAUCAUGUUUUUAAUUUUGAAUAAGUAUAAGAAAAUCACAAUCAUCUUCUCAAUUUUUUGGUGGGUGUAUGACGAAGAGAGAAUAAAAAGGCACUUUAAAAAAAUAAGAAACUCUUUGUUUAGCAAUAUCUAAAAGGGUAUAGGAUUAAGAGAAUUAGGAUCCUUUAAUCAAGCAUUGUUAACUAAACUAAUUUGGCGUCUUUUUACUUAAGAAGAUUCUCUCCUCUUUAGAAUCCUUAAGAGUAAAUACUUUCAGCGUACUUCUUUCCUCAAAGCUACUUGUUCUUCUGUCAUUUCUUGAAUUUGGAAAAAUAUUAUUGUGGAAAGAGAUCUUCUAAAUAAGGGUAUUAGAUGGAUAAUAGAUUUAGGAGAAUAUAUUAAGGUUUGAUCGGAUCCGUGGAUACCCAACUCUAGUGGCUUCAAGCUUAGUUAUUUAUCCUAACAAAAUGGAUAUCGAAUUAAAAGUGAAGGAUCUUAUAGACCAUAAUAAUCACAUCUGAAAAAUAUAAGAGCUUCAAAAAUAAUUUUCCUCGUAGGACAUAUAACCUAUCAUAUCUAUUCUAAUAUCUACCGCUGGAUUGACAAACAAAAUUAUUUGUCAUCAUAUUAAAUUUGAAAAGUAUGAGGCAAAAUCGAGCUACCAAUGUGAUGUCCCAGAGUUAAAGUACAUUAAGUAUUUAAUAUACUGUGGUGUUUGUGUGAUUACACUAUGGGAGGAUGAUUAAUCUAUAAUCUAUAAUCUAUAUCUAUAAUAUAUUAAAAGUGAGAGCACCCUUAGAAAAGUGAUUUGAACUUUUUACCCUUCACUAAAAGAUUCAGCAAUAGAUAAAACUGUCAUUUACAAUUUUACUAAAUUGUUAUUUUAAAUAUUUUAGGUGUCCUACUAAAAUUGGUUAUUAAAUCUUUCCUUAUUUAAACAUAGUAAAAAUUACUAUUAAUUUUCAGUGAUUAAUUUAUAUUUGAGGAACUAUAUAUUAAUAUUUUACAAAAAAAAAAAACUUUUACGUAAACAAAUAUAAAUACUAACCAAUUAGUACUUUAGUAGUAACUUCUUGACCGAAUUUGUAAGACUUUUUUAAACAAUAAUUUAACAAAAAUAGGUAAGUUAUUUUGGCAAGAAUUUUACUUUAAAUAGAAAAUAAAUUAAGUAAAUUCUCCUUUUAAAGUUAGCAUUCAAGUAUUCGUCUCUUUGCUUUUCUAUUUUAUUUGUAUUUUCGUUGCACUUUAAAUUUCUUUUAUUAGGUUGUUCGUUGCUUUUAAACGCUUUUUAGUUGCCUAACUAUGUGAUUUUUACGUGUGAUUUAUGGUAUAUUGAGAUUCUAUCCUUAAUUUUUGAGAUUCUGUUAUAAUUAAUGUUUGAUAGGUUGCGACCUCGCCCG